This 495-nucleotide ribosomal RNA is filed under the name uncultured bacterium. Its description in RNAcentral is "SSU rRNA". It matches the Rfam family "Bacterial small subunit ribosomal RNA", at positions 26 to 517 of the family's 1533-position model. The record is from RNAcentral.
AGGAUGAACGCUAGCGGCAGGCUUAAUACAUGCAAGUCGUGGGGCAGCAUGGUGUAGCAAUACACUGAUGGCGACCGGCAAACGGGUGCGGAACACGUACGCAACCUUCCUUUAACUGGAGAAUAGCCCGGGGAAACCCGGAUUAAUACUCCGUAACAUUAUGAAGUGGCAUCACUUUAUAAUUAUAGCUCCGGCGGUUGAAGAUGGGCGUGCGUCUGAUUAGGUAGUUGGCGGGGUAACGGCCCACCAAGCCUACGAUCAGUAACUGGUGUGAGAGCACGACCAGUCACACGGGCACUGAGACACGGGCCCGACUCCUACGGGAGGCAGCAGUAAGGAAUAUUGGACAAUGGGCGAGAGCCUGAUCCAGCCAUGCCGCGUGCAGGAAGAAGGCCUUCUGGGUUGUAAACUGCUUUGCCAGGGGAUAAAGACCCGUGCGCGGGGAAUUGAAGGUACCUGGUGAAUAAGCCACGGCUAACUACGUGCCAGCAGCCG